This 182-nucleotide ribosomal RNA is filed under the name uncultured bacterium. RNAcentral's name for it is "partial 16S ribosomal RNA". It matches the Rfam family "Bacterial small subunit ribosomal RNA", at positions 1319 to 1500 of the family's 1533-position model. The record is from RNAcentral.
CGUGAAGUUGGAAUCGCUAGUAAUCGCGGAUCAGCAUGCCGCGGUGAAUACGUUCCCGGGCCUUGUACACACCGCCCGUCACACCAUGGGAGUCAGCAACGCCCGAAGCCGGUGACCCAACCGAAAGGAGGGAGCCGUCGAAGGUGGGGCCGAUAACUGGGGUGAAGUCGUAACAAGGUAUC